This 268-nucleotide ribosomal RNA is filed under the name uncultured bacterium. Its description in RNAcentral is "partial 16S ribosomal RNA". It matches the Rfam family "Bacterial small subunit ribosomal RNA", at positions 86 to 353 of the family's 1533-position model. The record is from RNAcentral.
AGAUGGCGACCGGCGCACGGGUGAGUAACACGUAUCCAACCUGCCGAUGACUCGGGGAUAGCCUUUCGAAAGAAAGAUUAAUACCCGAUGGCAUAGUUCUUCCGCAUGGUAGAACUAUUAAAGAAUUUCGGUCAUCGAUGGGGAUGCGCUCCAUUAGGUUGUUGGCGGGGUAACGGCCCACCAAGCCUUCGAUGGAUAGGGGUUCUGAGAGGAAGGUCCCCCACAUUGGAACUGAGACACGGUCCAAACUCCUACGGGAGGCAGCAUG